AUUGAACGCUGGCGGCAGGCCUAACACAUGCAAGUCGAACGGUAACAGGAAGAAGCUUGCUUCUUUGCUGACGAGUGGCGGACGGGUGAGUAAUGUCUGGGAAACUGCCUGAUGGAGAGGGAUAACUACUGGAAACGGUAGCUAAUACCGCAUAACGUCGCGAGACCAAAGAGGGGGACCUUCGGGCCACUUGCCAUCGGAUGUGCCCAGAUGGGAUUAGCUAGUAGGUGGGGUAACGGCUCACCUAGGCGACGAUCCCUAGCUGGUCUGAGAGGAUGACCAGCCACACUGGAACUGAGACACGGUCCAGACUCCUACGGGAGGCAGCAGUGGGGAAUAUUGCACAAUGGGCGCAAGCCUGAUGCAGCCAUGCCGCGUGUAUGAAGAAGGCCUUCGGGUUGUAAAGUACUUUCAGCGGGGAGGAAGGGAGUAAAGUUAAUACCUUUGCUCAUUGACGUUACCCGCAGAAGAAGCACCGGCUAACUCCGUGCCAGCCGCCGCCGUAA
This 506-nucleotide ribosomal RNA is filed under the name uncultured bacterium. RNAcentral describes it as "partial 16S ribosomal RNA". It matches the Rfam family "Bacterial small subunit ribosomal RNA", at positions 30 to 523 of the family's 1533-position model. The record is from RNAcentral.